Molecule: ribosomal RNA, 492 nt
Filed under: uncultured bacterium
Lineage: Bacteria
Description: partial 16S ribosomal RNA
Rfam family: Bacterial small subunit ribosomal RNA
Source: RNAcentral
AGUGAACGCUGGCGGUAGGCCUAACACAUGCAAGUCGAACGGCAGCACAGUAAGAGCUUGCUCUUACGGGUGGCGAGUGGCGGACGGGUGAGGAAUACAUCGGAAUCUACUUUUUCGUGGGGGAUAACGUAGGGAAACUUACGCUAAUACCGCAUACGACCUACGGGUGAAAGCAGGGGAUCUUCGGACCUUGCGCGAUUGAAUGAGCCGAUGUCGGAUUAGCUAGUUGGCUGGGUAAAGGCCCACCAAGGCGACGAUCCGUAGCUGGUCUGAGAGGAUGAUCGGCCACACUGGAACUGAGACACGGACCAGACUCCUACGGGAGGCAGCAGUGGGGAAUAUUGGACAAUGGGCGCAAGCCUGAUCCAGCCAUACCGCGUGGGUGACGAAGGCCUUCGGGUUGUAAAGCCCUUUUGUUGGGAAAGAAAAGCAGUAGGUUAAUACGCCGCUGUUCUGACGGUACCCAAAGAAUAAGCACCGGCUAACUUCGUG